UACGUAGGGUGCAAGCGUUGUCCGGAAUUAUUGGGCGUAAAGAGCUCGUAGGCGGUUUGUCGCGUCUGCUGUGAAAAUCCAGGGCUUAACCCUGGACCUGCAGUGGGUACGGGCAGACUAGAGUGCGGUAGGGGAGAUCGGAAUUCCUGGUGUAGCGGUGAAAUGCGCAGACAUCAGGAGGAACACCGGUGGCGCAGGCGGAUCUCUGGGCCUUACCUGACGCUCAGGUGCGAAAGCUAGGGGAGCGAACAGG
RNAcentral lists this ribosomal RNA (253 nucleotides) under uncultured bacterium. RNAcentral's name for it is "partial 16S ribosomal RNA". It matches the Rfam family "Bacterial small subunit ribosomal RNA", at positions 524 to 776 of the family's 1533-position model. The record is from RNAcentral.